Molecule: ribosomal RNA, 253 nt
Filed under: uncultured bacterium
Lineage: Bacteria
Description: partial 16S ribosomal RNA
Rfam family: Bacterial small subunit ribosomal RNA
Source: RNAcentral
UACGUAGGGCGCAAGCGUUGUCCGGAAUUAUUGGGCGUAAAGAGCUCGUAGGCGGUCUGUUGCGUCCGCUGUGAAAACUCGGGGCUUAACCCCGAGCCUGCAGUGGAUACGGGCAGACUAGAGGUAGGUAGGGGAGAAUGGAAUUCCCGGUGUAGCGGUGAAAUUCGUAGAUAUCAGGAGGAACACCAGUGGCGAAGGCGGCUUCCUGGACACCAACUGACGCUGAGACGCGAAAGCGUGGGGAGCAAACAGG